Molecule: ribosomal RNA, 467 nt
Filed under: uncultured bacterium
Lineage: Bacteria
Description: partial 16S ribosomal RNA
Rfam family: Bacterial small subunit ribosomal RNA
Source: RNAcentral
GACGAACGCUGGCGGCGUGCUUAACACAUGCAAGUCGAGCGGGAAACUUCGGUUUCCAGCGGCGGACGGGUGAGUAACACGUGGGCAACCUGCCUCACAAUGAGCGAUAGCCUUCCGAAAGGAAGAUUAAUACCUCAUAACACAAGAGAAACGCAUGUUUCUCUUGCCAAAGAAUUUCGUUGUGAGAUGGGCCCGCGGCGCAUUAGCUUGUUGGUGAGGUAACGGCUCACCAAGGCUUCGAUGCGUAGCCGACCUGAGAGGGUGAUCGGCCACAUUGGAACUGAGACACGGUCCAGACUCCCACGGGAGGCAGCAGUGGGGAAUAUUGCACAAUGGAGGAAACUCUGAUGCAGCAACGCCGCGUGAGUGAUGAAGGUCUUCGGAUUGUAAAGCUCUGUCUUCUGGGACGAUAAUGACGGUACCAGAGGAGGAAGCCACGGCUAACUACGUGCCAGCCGCCGCCGUAA